Molecule: long non-coding RNA, 567 nt
Filed under: Fukomys damarensis (Damara mole-rat)
Lineage: Eukaryota; Metazoa; Chordata; Mammalia; Rodentia; Bathyergidae
Description: lncRNA (ENSFDAG00000021866.1)
Source: RNAcentral
GCUGUAGAUCUGACAGAACUCUGGCCCUCAUCAGAUGAACCUUCACUGUGCUGCACAGAUAUUAGAAGAGCAAUUACAUUCCUGUGAGCCACUGAUGGAGGACAUCAUCCAACUGGAAGCACUUCUUUAAGAGGGGCCUGUCAGCUCACCUUUAUAUUAACAGACAUUACCUUUGAAUAUAUCUGUGAGGAAGGAAAACUGCUUCAGUAAGUGUUAUUUCUGUUGUGUUUCUUUUGUAUCUAAGCCAAAAUAUUCCUUCAGAUUACCCCUCUAGUUACAUUCCUCAAAUAAAAAGAAAAGAAAAAAAAGCAGAAAAAGUUUACAAAAUGUCUCUUUUCGCUAAACAAAUUAUCAUCAAGUAGUUUAUAGUAUGUCAUAACCCCGACCUUUGAAUUGUAUGAAAGUACACAUCACAGAACUCUUGACUGACAUAGUAAAAAUAAAAUCAAAACAAAAUGAGGCAUUAAAGCUUUCACAAUAUAGCUUAUGCUGAUUUCAUCACAAAGAAUACUUUGGGAAUAGAUUUCUUUCAUAAUAAAUUUAGUCAUAAAUAUAUUUGGGGCAAGA